UCUGUGGCCAUGAACAGAACGAGAGGAGAUGUAGCCUACACCAACACACACCACAGAGGGAGAGACCAAGUAACUGUACUGGAGAGUGCUGCUGUGCUGUCUACCAAACAUGAGAAAGAGAGAGAGAGGCAGAAUAUCAAACAGGAAGUACCCGUGCUAAGGAAUAUUCAAUGGACACCGACGUCUUGCUUCCAGACAAGCUAAAUAGCUUCUUCGCCCACUUUGAGGAUAAGUGCCACCUACGCAGCUCGCUACCAAGAACUGUGGGCUCGCCUUCUCCGUAGCCAACUCUGCUAUCCCCAAUUGCUUCAAGAUGUCCACCAUUGUUCCUGUACCCAAGAAAGCAAAGGUAACUGAACUAAAUGACUAUCGCCCCCGUAGCACUCACUUUGGUCAACAUGAAGUGCUUUGAGAGGCUAUUUAAGGAUCAUAUCACCUCUAUCUUACCUGACACCCUAGACCCACAUCAAUUUGCUUACCGCCCCAAUAGAUCCACAGGCAAUGCACACUGCCCUAU
Molecule: long non-coding RNA, 517 nt
Organism: Oncorhynchus masou masou (cherry salmon)
Lineage: Eukaryota; Metazoa; Chordata; Actinopteri; Salmoniformes; Salmonidae
Exons: 3
Source: RefSeq, a predicted model, not a curated record